UUACACAUUUGUGAUAUAUUUUAAAGGCAGUGACCAAUGAAGAUGUGUAUAUCAACUUCACUCAGGAAGAGUGGGAUUUGUUGAAUCCUUCCCAGAAGAAUCUCUAUAAAGAAGUAAUGCUGGAGACCUACAGGAACCUCAUUUCUAUAGGAUACAUUUGGGAAGACCAUAACACUGAAGAACAUUGGCAAUGUUCUAGAAGACAUGCAAGGAUUAAAAGAAAUCAAAAUGGUGAGAAGAAACUUUCAGUGUAUACUGACUGUGUUAAAGCCUUGUCUUAUGAGACUCACCUUCUAUGGAAUGAAAAAACACAUA
Molecule: non-coding RNA, 315 nt
Organism: Myodes glareolus (Bank vole)
Lineage: Eukaryota; Metazoa; Chordata; Mammalia; Rodentia; Cricetidae
Source: RefSeq, a predicted model, not a curated record